GCCUUUAUAGCUUAAUUUAAAGCAUUACAUUGAAGCUGUAAAUAUGACAUAUGUCUAAAGGCA
RNAcentral lists this transfer RNA (63 nucleotides) under Platynereis sp. 1 PA-2020. RNAcentral describes it as "tRNA-Phe". It matches the Rfam family "tRNA". Rfam says of the family: Transfer RNA (tRNA) molecules are approximately 80 nucleotides in length. Their secondary structure includes four short double-helical elements and three loops (D, anti-codon, and T loops). Lineage: Eukaryota; Metazoa; Annelida; Polychaeta; Phyllodocida; Nereididae. The record is from RNAcentral.